AGAWASUAACAAGGAUUCCCCUAGUAACGGCGAGUGAAGCGGGAAGAGCUCAAAUUUGAAAUCUGGCAGUCUUCGAUUGUCCGAGUUGUAAUCUAUAGAGGCGUUUUCCGUGCCGGACCGUGUCCAAGUCUCCUGGAAAGGAGUAUCAAAGAGGGUGAUAAUCCCGUACUUAACACGACCACCGGUGCUCUGUGAUACGUCUUCUACGAGUCGAGUUGUUUGGGAAUGCAGCUCAAAAUGGGUGGUGAAUUCCAUCUAAAGCUAAAUAUUGGCGAGAGACCGAUAGCGAACAAGUACCGUGAGGGAAAGAUGAAAAGCACUUUGGAAAGAGAGUUAAACAGUACGUGAAAUUGUUGAAAGGGAAACGAUUGAAGUCAGUCGUGUUCUUUGGAUUCAGCCAGUUCUGCUGGUCUACUUCCUUGGAACGGGUCAACAUCAGUUUUGUCCGGUGGAUAAAGGUAGUAGGAAUGUGACUUCUCCGGAAGUGUUAUAGCCUAUUAUCACAUACACUGGGUGAGACUGAGGACUGCAGCUCGCCUUUAUGGCCGGCCUUCGGGCACGUUCGAGCUUAGGAUGUUGACAUAAUGGCUUUAAACGAC
RNAcentral lists this ribosomal RNA (599 nucleotides) under Trichosporon asahii. Its description in RNAcentral is "eukaryotic LSU rRNA". It matches the Rfam family "Eukaryotic large subunit ribosomal RNA", at positions 60 to 648 of the family's 3401-position model. The record is from RNAcentral. Lineage: Eukaryota; Fungi; Basidiomycota; Tremellomycetes; Trichosporonales; Trichosporonaceae.